AAUUGUGGCCGUAACGGGAGUGGGUGAAAUAGCUAUUUCCAUGGGGAGCUUGAGCAUACGGUGCGCCUUGUCAUGUUCAUUCAGCGUUGGCUGUGCAAUCGGUGCCUAGCCGGCACUGAGCGUGCAGUUGGUGCAUGUGGGAAAAGGGUCGAUCAUGGCAUGGCAAGCUGUUUGGGAUGGCAAACCAUGGCACGGCGAGCGAGCUUGCGGCAUUUUUGUGCCUACGUGCCUAACGGGGCGUGCUUGGGCGUUUUGGUUGCUAUUUGUUGUUAGCAUUGCCGGAAGGCAUUGUGAGGCAGUGAAUGGUGGCCACUUCGUUUGGGCAUCGUGUACGUAUGGUGCGUGAGUGGUGGUUGGCUAGUAUGGGCACGUUGGAUCCCUGCUUGGGCAGCGACGUCGUGCCUUGCUAGUCUCUUCAGUGGGCGGCCCAAGUGCGUGUUGGCCUUGGACGUUCUUGGUUUCCUGUGUUGCAUACCUAUUGCGAGGGCAUUCAAUUGGUUAAAAACGUCCCGUUUCCGCCUUGUGCCGGGCCUUUUAAGGCUGCGGUGCGGGGUGGACCCCAAAGCACCCGUCGUGUUCCACUUCCCGUGCGUUUUGACACGUCUUCGGGAUGUUGGCCCAUGGCGUCGUGCUCGAUCUCUCGGAUGCUGAAAAUCAAGUGGGCACGAGGCCUCCAGCCCCUAUUUGUCCCGAAUCAAAGCGUUCUACGCUUCGUGCGAACGACGACCGUUGCCGCUUUGAUCGAGUCCUCGUGGCUUCGAUCACGCGGUGCCGGCGCCGAUGAGGAAUGCU
This 792-nucleotide unclassified non-coding RNA is filed under the name Adenocalymma marginatum. RNAcentral describes it as "partial external transcribed spacer". The record is from RNAcentral. Lineage: Eukaryota; Viridiplantae; Streptophyta; Magnoliopsida; Lamiales; Bignoniaceae.